This 468-nucleotide ribosomal RNA is filed under the name uncultured bacterium. Its description in RNAcentral is "partial 16S ribosomal RNA". It matches the Rfam family "Bacterial small subunit ribosomal RNA", at positions 28 to 507 of the family's 1533-position model. The record is from RNAcentral.
GACGAACGCUGGCGGCGUGCUUAACACAUGCAAGUCGAACGGAAAGGCCCUGCUUUUGUGGGGUGCUCGUGUGGCGAACGGGUGAGUAACACAUGAGUAACCUGCCCUUGACUUUGGGAUAACUUCAGGAAACUGGGGCUCAUACCGGAUAGGAGCUCCUGCUGCAUGGUGGGGGUUGGAAAGUUUCGGCGGUGGGGGAUGGACUCGCGGCUUAUCAGCUUGUUGGUGGGGUAGUGGCUUACCAAGGCUUUGACGGGUAGCCGGCCUGAGAGCGUGACCGGCCACAUGGGGACUGAGAUACGGCCCAGACUCCUACGGGCGGCAGCAGGGGGGAAUAUUGCACAAUGGGCGGAAGCCUGAUGCAGCAACGCCGCGUGCGUGAUGACGGCCUUCGGGUUGUAAACCGCUUUCGCCUGUGACGAAGCGGGAGUGACGGUAAUGGGUAAAGAAGCACCGGCUAACUACGUG